Molecule: long non-coding RNA, 3004 nt
Organism: Leucoraja erinaceus (little skate)
Lineage: Eukaryota; Metazoa; Chordata; Chondrichthyes; Rajiformes; Rajidae
Exons: 2
Source: RefSeq, a predicted model, not a curated record
AGGAGCAAGAUAGACCACUCCUCGAAAAACGCGUAGUAUGACGUGUGUGAUCAUCGACGCCAUUUUUCGAGGCAUUUAUUGAGCUUCCCCCACACUGUCAUGGCGUUCUUAUCUAAAUUUCAUCUCACUGCUCUGCUAUCAAGUAUUCUAAUCGUAAAUCUAAACGACCCGACCUGUCAUUCUUUAGGUUCCCCAAUAAAAAAGAAAGAUGUCAACAGUGGGUCCAGAAUACUCAUCGACAAGAUCUCCUGCACCGAACUGCAGAGUAUUUGUCAAAUAACUGCCGUCUUAUGUACAUUGUGUGAAAUUGUGAUUUGUUAACUGCACAAAACUAAUGCAAAUGGCGAUAUAUUUAUUAUUGUAUCUACGUUGGACAUUUUGCUCUUUGGUGUCAGAACGCGGGGUGGGAGAUUGCAACCUUCACGUGGUCCGCCCUGUUUCGACAAAUGCAAUCAACCCGGUGUGCACAGUCAAAUAAGAUCAAAUAGAACAAGUUGUCCUACAACUUUAGGCUGUGCACGCCAUACGCAAUAAGAAGAAGAAGUGUCAGAACGCAGUCUGAAGAAGGCUUCCGACCUACAACGUCACCUAUUCCUUUUCUCCAGAGAUGCUGCCUGACCCACUGAGUUACUCCAGCAUUUUGUGUCUAUCUCUGUUUAGAUUGGACUCGUGGGUGGAGAUUGCGGCUGGUCUGGUGAUCUAGAACGAGGGCCAAAGUCUCAGAAUAUGGGUCAUGAUAUUUAGUAAUGAGACAAGGAGCAGUUUCUUCACUCAAGGGCUGGGAAUCUUGGAAUUCUUUAUUGCGUGAGAUGGUGGAAGUCGAGCCCUUGAAAGGAGAGAUUUUUUUUUUCAAAUACAAAAAGGAUGAAGGAUAAUGGAGAGAAUGUGGGAAUAAGGUGUUGAGUUGCAGGAUCAACAAUAAUCUUACUGAUGGUGGUGUGAACUUAGAUGGCUUAUCCUUGCUUCUAUUUCUUACAGAGACACAGCACGGAAACAGGCCCUUUGGCCCACCGCGUCCGCAUUGACCAGCGAUCCCCGCACACUAACACCAUCCUACACACACUAGGGACAAUUUACACUUAUACCAAGCCUACAAACCUGUAUGUCUUUGGAGUGUGGGAGGAAACCGAAGAUCUCGGAGAACACCCAUUCAGUCACGGGGAGAAUGUACGAACUCAGUACAGACAGCACCCACUGUAAGGCAGCAACUUUACUGCUGCACCACCAUGCCGCCCUUAAUCCACUAGGGCACUAGGUUACAAUAAACUUCCUACAUAUUCCAGGAAUGCAUCUCAUAAAAAUGGGAGAGGUUUAAAUGCAUUGUAAAAUCUGCUCUCAGUUUCCUAGAUCGGUAUUGCUCUAAUGGCCUCUUUGUAUCAUUUUCUUUGAUUUAAACCAUCCAUUGUUUUGCAUUUAGAUUUUAUUUUUCCCCUGUGGAUCACAAGGCACUGUUUGUUUCAGGGGUGACUCUAAUCUCCAGCGUAAUUUGACAAGACAGCCAAGAGGGCAAACACAGGCAGUUCAGAGCUGCUGCCUGUAUCGCAUGAGAGAACAAGAAUGAGACCAACUUGUUUUUUGCAGAUCAUCAACCCCUGACUGAUGUUAUCAAUGCCGAUGGUGACUCAAGGAGACUCAACCAGGUGGUGGUUUACAAAGGUCCAUGCCCAUUGUUCCUCAUGGCAUACCACCAGCCUCAACAGAUCACCUAGUCAUAGAGUCUCACAGCGUAGAAGCAGGCCCUUCAGCUCAACUUGCCCACGCUGGCCAACAUGUCCCAUCUACACUAGUCCCACAUGCCUGCAUUUGGCCCAUACCCCUCUAAACCUGUCCUAACCAUCAAAUAACCUAACAGAACUGUCAUAUGAGGAAAGAUUUAAAAGACUAGGCUUGUAUUCACUGGAGUUUAGAAGGAUGAGGGGGGAUCUUAUCAUAUUGUUUACAGUGUACUAUGUUUACAGAUUCUGUUGUGCUGCUGAAAGUAAGAAUUUAAUUGUUCUAUCUGGGACAAGCUAGAUGCAGGAAAUUGUUCUACAUGACAAUAAAACACUCUUGUUAGAUGCAAGGGGAUCUUAUAGAAACAUCUAAAUGAAUAAAAGGACUGAACAAGCUAGAUACAGGAAAAAUGUUCCCAAUGUUGGGCGAGUCCAGAACCAGGGGCCACAGUCUUAGAACAAAGGGAAGGCCAUUUAAGACUGAGGUGAGAAAAAACUUUUUCACCCAGAGAGUUGUGAAUUUGUGGAAUUCCCUGCCACAGAGGGCAGUGGAGGCCAAAUCACUGGGUGGAUUUAAGAGAGAGUUAGAUAGAUCUCUAGGGGCUAGUGGAAUCAAGGGAUAUGGGGAGAAGGCAGGCAUGGGUUAUCGAUUGGGGCUGAUCAGCCAUGAUCACAAUGAAUGGCGGUGUUGGCUCGAAGUGCCAAAUGGCCUCCUCCUGCACCUAUUUUCUAUAUUUCUAGAACACUCAUCCAGCAAUCCUCGAGCCCACCAGCUCAUCCCGUAGUCAAUUCAUCAGCUUUUCCAUAAGAACUUCCAUCAGUUCUUCCAAAAGAAUGACAAUCAGCCAAUCUCGAUUACCCUCAGCCCAUCAAGCAGCCCCUUAAUUCGCACAGAAGUCUGAACUAUUGAAUGCUCACUGCAUCUCUUUCCAUGUCAGCAAGUUAAUAUCCAGCUGCAUAUGAACCAUGUGAAAAAUGAAUAAAUAGAUGCAUGUGGUGCAGUGAUUUGUGCAGCACUAUAGGCCUGGAGACCAAGAGGAGUUCACCAUUGAACGGAGUUUGAACGGGGGGCUUGAGGCCCCCGACCGAGGAAGAACAAAAGGAAGGGACUUGAACUUUAUUUCGCCUUCCAUCACAGUGAGGAAUGUGUAGGAGUCACUUUGGUGAAUGUCCGUAUUAAAAUGUGUUUUUGAGUGCUGUUGCUUUUAAUUGUAUGACUGACCUGGCCAAUGAAAUUCCUCGUAUAUUGCAAAACAUACUUGGAAAAUAAAAUCUGAUUAUGAUUCUGAAAA